Chenopodium quinoa (quinoa) is the source of this 3381-nucleotide long non-coding RNA. RefSeq lists it as uncharacterized. The transcript has 2 exons. The record is from RefSeq and is a predicted model, not a curated record. Lineage: Eukaryota; Viridiplantae; Streptophyta; Magnoliopsida; Caryophyllales; Amaranthaceae.
GAUGUGUCAAAAUCAAUUAAGGGUGUGCUAAAAUCAAUUUCCCUUCGUACGGAUGAUUGUUUGUUAUCCAAAGAUGAGAAAUGGGUCCCAAUCCUACUCAGAUAUGAGUAAGAUUCUAAUGGCAUCUGAUCUCAUCGUCACUAAGUAUCCCCAAGUACUUGGGAUUUUUUUUAUCGAGCUACUAUAUAUACCUCCACAAUUAUGCACCUGCCAUUCAUACGUCUAAUUUAUCAAAUUUAAACAAAUCGUCUAAAAUUUUCAUGUCAUUUCUUCUCUCUUCAAUUGCUAAUAAGUAGUUGCUAGAAAUUUUCUCAAAAACCAAAAAAAAAUAAAAAAAUAAAAAAAAAAGGUAGUUGCUAGAAAUAAUGCACCAAAUUUGUCUCAUGUUUGAUGAUUUGCAUGCCAAGUUCAUAAUUUCUUGCUAGCUUUUGCUCAUUCCAACUUCUGAUUAGAAAAGGUGAGGAUUCCUUCUCAAAUCUUUGCUAGGAAUUUUGUAUUGAAAAUGACUAUUUUUCGAUUAUCAAACUCUACAAUCACUUAAACGUUUUCCUACCUACCAUAUAGAGUGUUAGAGUCAGGAGUAAUGCAUAUGAAACUCUGUUAGUUGAGACGAUUAAUACAAGAGGAGGAGUGAAUUGUAUUGAGUUCCUAAUGACUACUUUUUGCGGAUAAAUAAACAAUGCGUAAAGGAACUUAAGCAAACACACAAAUUUUACGAGGAAACCUUUCAGGGCCCAAUUGAAAGUAAAACCUCGACCCUACCUUAGGGAUUUCAUACACAAAACACUUCACUAUAAUAGGGCAAACACCAAGUUACAAACUAUUAGACACAUACCUUUAUUUCACAAGUUCCUCACUGGACUUGCUACUUGAUAGGACCCUAUCCUACCCAAUCUAAGCCACACUUAGAUUCACUCGUACCACCAAAGUACUACACGUACUACCAAAGUACAAAACAUUCAUACCACCCCAGUACAAAACUCACAGCCUCACCAAAAAGCUUACACAAAUCUGUAUGUAACACAAACCAUAAAUAUCACCCCAAAUAACCCCACCAAUACAAAUAUAAGACGCCUAUUAUUAUAGGUAAGCAAUGCACGAAAUCCGAAACUAAUAUGAUAAGUUAAAAGCUUGGUAAACUUACUCAGUUAAAGCACGAUGAUUUCUCCACGCAUAAACUCACAAAACCUAAAACAUUUUUCUCUCUACUAUUUAUACAAGUAACACUUGUAUAGAAGGUAGGUUUUCUAAAAAGCUAAAUAUGUUAACUUGACUUAUCUUUAUUAAACACUGUUUUAGUAAAUCAAGUGGAAUAAAAUCUUUUCCGAAAAUAAGUAUAAAAGAUAUUUAUUAAGAAAACUUAUCUUUCUUAAUAAACCGACUUUAGAGAAGAAUAAUCUUUUUAGAAAAUCUUUUCCUAAAAUCUAUCUUUUAUUAUUUUCCAUAUUUAUUUUAUUUACCAAGCAAACUUAUCACGUUUCUAAUAAAUUUCGUGCACUAACCUACUUACCAUAUUAACAAUAAUUUCUAAGAAUAAAACCUUGACUAUUAUUGUUGCGCCGCACUCUGAUCAGAUGAAUUACUUGGGCUCCAAGCAUAUCAAGUUCCACCAAAUUAAAGAACUUAACUGCUAGUCUUCAAGUUCCUGUUAUGGAACUUAGUUCUUGUUAGAGAACUCUUCCUCUGAUUAGUUUAACUUCUUCAAUAAAGAUCUUCUUCAUGUCUUCUUAGAUUCAGAUGAUUCUUCAAUCACCAAGAUUAUCCAGCACCUUGACUAAUCACACACUAGAAAAUCUUUAUUAGAUGAGUUUGCUUUUAGUUUAAGUUCCUCAUCAUCAAAACCUUUAUACUUCAACAAACUCGAGUUUUGAUACAAUAAUUUGUCAUUCUCUUAACAAAGCGCAAUUUACUAUGUAUUUCCAUUACUAUAUAUUGAGUUUUGAUGCUAUAUAUAUAGUGAUAAAAUAAUAGUGAAGUAAAUGUUAAGAUCUAAAUAGCUAUAGUGAUAGCCCUUCCAUUAGCCGCCAUGCUACAACUUACAAGAGGUACUAAUAGCUCUAAUCAGCACGUGGCUGAGUUACGAUUGAUAAAAAGGUGUCAAUUAAAUCAACACAAUCCGAAUAUAGAAAUAUAACUAUGUUGUGGAUGUGAUUUACCAUGUAAAUUAUAUUUUCCUUAUAUUAAGUCAUAAUUAAAGAAUAAAUGAGCUUGUUUGAUAUUAAUUCUAAACUCCGUCGCCAUCCACUCUAAAACCUACAAGUAGUAAAUAAGCAUGGCAAACAAGUGAAAAGACAAUACUCCCUCCGUCCCUAAAUUAAAAGUCUCCUUCUUUUUAUUAUGUGAGUAAUAAAUGCUAGAAAGAGGCUUUGUAUUAAGGGACGGAGAGAGUAGUAACCUAGCACUGCCUGUAAUUGAAUUUAGGGAAUUUUUUUUCUUGGGUAAUUGUCAAUGAUUUUGCAUUAUUUGCAUUCACACAAAGUCAAGGGUUUUAUAUGCAUGACAUUUACACAAGGUGUUAGACGUUUUAAUUUGUGGGCUAGCAUUUGGGCUUCGAUUGAUGUGCAUGUAUUAUUCAAUAAAUGGGCCGGGCCUAAGGUAUGAAUAAAGUUUAAGGCCAAUAGGUCUAUGGUAGACCCUGGUCCAUCUAAAAUAGGUGGACCACCAGCCCAAAUACAAUCCACCAGCACAAACACACUACAUAUAACGCGGCCCAAACUUUCGUUUCUUUCUUUCCACUCCAACAAAACUGGUAUAACAUUAAAUAUGAACAUUCACUCUUUCAAAGGCUGAAAAAUUCUCGUUUCUCUCUCCUCUGCAAAUUCGAACAUAGCCAUGGAUGAAAAGCAAGAAACCAAUGCAGAAAGCAACCAAUCUGAACUUCAACCCAAAUCCACCACCCAACACCAAUCUAAGAAGCUGAGAAUCAAGCUCAAAAGGAGGCUGAGAAUCAAGCUAAAAAGGAACUCAAAAGGAGACUGAGAAUCAAGCUAAAAAGGAAGCUCAAAAGAAGGCUAAGAAAGAAUCUCAAAAGAAGAAGGUUCAGAAGAAGCAAGAAAAUGUUCAACAGAGAGGAAGUUCAGAAGAGUGAAAUUAAGGAGAAAAAAAAGAAAACGAAGAGAUAAUGUUGAUGAUUUCUUUGAUGUAGACAAUGUUGUGGAUCUAAAUUAUGAUCGAAAAAGAAGUAAAAAAACCAGAUUAAAUAGGGAAGGAGGAUUUUAUAAAGAAGGAAAAAAAAAGUUAAGAUGACGGGAUUUGAAGAACAAGGCGAAAUUGUGUUUAAUUAAGAGAAGAGUGUGUUUAAUGCCUGGUUCACAUAGGAUAGGUGGACCAGGGUCUAUGUAAGAAUUUGUAAUUUAAGGCACUCUUCAUUAGGACUUUUGA